GGGCUGGGAGACACAGCAACAGACAAAGCAGAUCCCCACCGCCAUGAAGCUUGCACUGGCAUCUAAAAUAUUUAAAUCACAAACUCACCAAUGGAGUACAGGUAGUUAAAAAAGAAAAGAAUUCCAAGGAUUGAGCUGUGGAACUUUCCAGCACGUGGUGGUGAGAGUGAUGAAAAGUAAAGGACAAAAGAAAUUAAGAUACCAUUAAGAGAUACUUCUAAGGAGGGACAAUCCUAAGGAGAGCAGAAGAUAGAUGAUGCAUGACAGAGAGUGAAGAAUUGCUGGAGCAAGGUCAUUGAGAAGAUGUCUCUUUGGCAUGUAGAUUAUUUCAAGGUGAAAACAAUCAAGGCUCAAAAGACUCAGGAAGAAAUUUCAGCCUUCCUCCUAACUACGUAAAGAAUGAAGACAGAGGCCCUAUUUCAGGAAGGGAGCCAUUACCACAGAUGAAUGGCUGAAGUAUGAACUAGGCGUGGAGACAGGGAGGAAUUUAGGGAGGAGAAGGAUUAGAGACAAAGGGCAAAGUAUAGAGUAAAAUGAGUUUGACAAAAGUGAGAGAUGCUCAGUCGUGUCUGACUCUUUGUGACCCCAAGGACUAUACAGCCCAUGGAAUUCUCC
Molecule: non-coding RNA, 615 nt
Organism: Odocoileus virginianus texanus
Lineage: Eukaryota; Metazoa; Chordata; Mammalia; Artiodactyla; Cervidae
Source: RefSeq, a predicted model, not a curated record